Molecule: unclassified non-coding RNA, 206 nt
Filed under: Hevea brasiliensis (rubber tree)
Lineage: Eukaryota; Viridiplantae; Streptophyta; Magnoliopsida; Malpighiales; Euphorbiaceae
Source: RNAcentral
UAGGGGUGAUACUGUUCAAGAUGCAAAAAGAGGAACCGGAGGAUCAGCUGUGUUCGUUGCCCGAAACAGGUUUGCGGUGCUUGAGAAGAGCACUAAUCAAGUCCUGGUAAAAAAUCUCAAGAAUGAAAUUGUCAAGAAAAGCCUUCUUCCUAUGGCAACUGAUGCAAUAUUUUAUGCUGGCACUGGAAACUUACUAUGUAGGGCAG